This 460-nucleotide ribosomal RNA is filed under the name uncultured bacterium. RNAcentral describes it as "SSU rRNA". It matches the Rfam family "Bacterial small subunit ribosomal RNA", at positions 26 to 518 of the family's 1533-position model. The record is from RNAcentral.
AGAAUCAACGCUGGCGGCGUGCCUAACACAUGCAAGUCGAACGAGAAAGUGGAGCAAUCCAUGAGUAAAGUGGCGCACGGGUGAGUAACACGUGACUAACCUACCCUUGAGUGGGGGAUAACCUAGAGAAAUCUGGGCUAAUACCGCAUAAUACCUUCGGGUCAAAGGAGCAAUUCGCUUAAGGAGGGGGUCGCGGCCGAUUAGUUAGUUGGCGGGGUAAUGGCCCACCAAGACUAUGAUCGGUAUCCGGCCUGAGAGGGCGCACGGACACACUGGAACUGAAACACGGUCCAGACUCCUACGGGAGGCAGCAGUGGGGAAUUUGCGCAAUGGGGGAACCCUGACGCAGCAACGCCGCGUGGAGGAUGAAGUCCCUUGGGACGUAAACUCCUUUCGAUCGGGACGAUAAUGACGGUACCGAGAGAAGAACGCCCCGGCUAACGUUCGUGCCAGCAGCCGC